This 21-nucleotide non-coding RNA is filed under the name Arabidopsis thaliana (thale cress). The record is from RNAcentral. Lineage: Eukaryota; Viridiplantae; Streptophyta; Magnoliopsida; Brassicales; Brassicaceae.
CAUAUAAAUGUCAUAUCCAGU